RNAcentral lists this transfer RNA (76 nucleotides) under Halarchaeum rubridurum. RNAcentral describes it as "tRNA-Arg". It matches the Rfam family "tRNA". From Rfam's summary of the family: Transfer RNA (tRNA) molecules are approximately 80 nucleotides in length. Their secondary structure includes four short double-helical elements and three loops (D, anti-codon, and T loops). Further hydrogen bonds mediate the characteristic L-shaped molecular structure. tRNAs have two regions of fundamental functional importance: the anti-codon, which is responsible for specific mRNA codon recognition, and the 3' end, to which the tRNAs corresponding amino acid is attached (by aminoacyl-tRNA synthetases). tRNAs cope with the degeneracy of the genetic code in two manners: having more than one tRNA (with a specific anti-codon) for a particular amino acid; and 'wobble' base-pairing, i.e. permitting non-standard base-pairing at the 3rd anti-codon position. Lineage: Archaea; Methanobacteriati; Methanobacteriota; Halobacteria; Halobacteriales; Halobacteriaceae. The record is from RNAcentral. RNAcentral also lists the same sequence under 2 other names.
GGGCGUUUAGCUCAGCUUGGACAGAGCACUUGGCUUCGGACCAAGACGCCGCGGGUUCAAAUCCUGCAACGCCCAC